AAAUGCGAUAAUUAAUGUGAAUUGCAGAAUUCAGUGAAUCAUCGAGUCUUUGAACGCACAUUGCGCCCCCUGGUAUUCCGGGGGGCAUGUCUGUCCGAGCGUCAUUGCUGCCCUCAAGCACGGCUUGUGUGUUGGGCUUCCGUCCCUGGCAACGGGGACGGGCCCAAAAGGCAGUGGCGGCACCAUGUCUGGUCCUCGAGCAUAUGGGGCUUUGUCACCCGCUCCCGUAGGUCCAGCUGGCAGCUAGCCUCGCAACCAAUCUUUUUAACCAGGUUGACCUCGGAUCAGGUAGGGAUACCCGCUGAACUUAAGC
This 313-nucleotide unclassified non-coding RNA is filed under the name plant metagenome. Its description in RNAcentral is "partial contains 5.8S ribosomal RNA, internal transcribed spacer 2, and large subunit ribosomal RNA". The stretch from base 1 to 104 matches the Rfam family "5.8S ribosomal RNA", at positions 51 to 154 of the family's 154-position model. The record is from RNAcentral.